AAACACACACAAUUUUGAAAAUAGACACCCACUCUUGCUUUUUAAGGUAAACAGAUUGCUGCAUGGUAUCCUGGGGUCUGCCGAGCUAGAUAGUCUGAGUUCUGCAUAUUCGGGCACUUGGGUGGGACUUACAGGUGUUGGGAGACAUGGGACUCUGUGCUAGUAAGGAAAAGCCUUCAAGGUUUUUUUGUUUUGUUUUGUUUAUGUUAAGCCACUAAUCUCAGAAGAAAUACUCUGUGGGUGAGUUGUUCUCUGAACAUUACUGCUGAGGUCUGGCCCAGGGUCCUAUCGGGCCAUGUAAAGGAAACCUGUCUGUUUCUAUGGAGGGUUUCCUCGGCCCCACACUCCAAUGGCUAGGGGUCCGGGAAGUUUUAAGGCUUUGGGUGACUGAUAAAACUGUGUCCCCUGGGACAAGAAGGUGGCCCUUGGCUGUGCCUGGUGGACAGUGGCCUGCAUAGCAUGGGUCCUGGGCAGGGUGGUCUCCUCUCCUCAGGUCUAAUCCCCGGCCUCUAAGGCAGCCUUUCUCCUUGAGUAGCUCGCCCCACAUCCCUGAAUCAGCCUAUAUAGGAAAACAAUCAGGCCCACAUUGUAGAACAGCCCUGCUAUUUACAGGACAGAGAAUGGGGACAGGCUUGUCCCACGACCUGCAGAAAAGGCUCACCACAGAGCCUUGUCUCCCUGUUGAAGGGUGCCUUGUUGUAGCAAGAGUGGACCCAGCCCCCUGCAGCACGUCCCCCCUCACCCCAUCCCAGACUGUACCCCCAACUCAUGACAGAGACCCUAUGGUCAAGACAGACAUCUCAGCCGGGCAGAGGCCCCACUUGAAGGUAGAGUGGCUGGACCAGAAAAGUCCUGAGGGCCGAGGUGCAAGCUAGCAGCCAGGAAGACAGAGCAGGGCUGGGAGUCCAGCUGCAGAAAGGUCAGACGGGAACACCGGCAGCCUUGGCAUGACGUCGUGAAGGUGGCCAUUGCUAACCUGACAUGUGGGGACUCAGGAACCCCACCCCUUAUGGGCUCCAGUCUGUGCUGCUGGCCCCAGCUCUGGGGCUCUAAGAGGUCCUUGCUGCUACCCCACAGCAGCCUGCUGCCAUCCAUGUGUGCCCGUUGCUGAAGGCCUCGGUGGCCCCUGCCCAUGAGGAUGUGUGCCCCCGUUAGGGGGCUGUUCUUGGCCCUGGUGGUAGUGUUGAGAACCGCGGUGGCAUUUGCACCUGUGCCUCGGCUCACCUGGGAACAUGGAGAGGUAGGUCUGGUGCAGUUUCACAAGCCAGGCAUCUUUAACUACUCGGCCUUGCUGAUGAGUGAGGACAAAGACACUCUGUAUGUAGGCGCCCGGGAAGCAGUCUUUGCAGUGAAUGCGCUGAACAUCUCUGAGAAGCAACAUGAGGUAUAUUGGAAGGUCUCUGAAGACAAAAAAUCCAAGUGUGCAGAGAAGGGGAAAUCAAAGCAGACGGAAUGCCUAAACUACAUUCGAGUACUACAGCCACUAAGCAGCACUUCCCUCUAUGUGUGUGGGACCAAUGCGUUCCAGCCCACCUGUGACCACCUGAACUUGACAUCCUUCAAGUUUCUGGGGAAAAGUGAAGAUGGCAAAGGAAGAUGCCCCUUCGACCCCGCCCACAGCUACACAUCAGUCAUGGUUGGGGGCGAGCUCUACUCUGGGACGUCCUAUAAUUUCUUGGGCAGUGAACCCAUCAUCUCUCGAAACUCUUCCCACAGUCCCUUGAGGACGGAGUAUGCCAUCCCGUGGCUGAACGAGCCUAGCUUCGUCUUUGCUGACGUGAUCCAGAAAAGCCCAGAUGGUCCGGAGGGUGAAGAUGACAAGGUCUACUUCUUUUUUACGGAGGUAUCCGUGGAGUACGAAUUCGUCUUCAAGUUGAUGAUCCCGCGAGUUGCCAGGGUGUGCAAGGGCGACCAGGGCGGCCUGCGGACUUUGCAAAAAAAGUGGACCUCCUUCCUAAAGGCCAGGCUGAUCUGCUCCAAGCCAGACAGUGGCCUGGUCUUCAACAUACUUCAGGAUGUGUUUGUGCUGAGGGCCCCGGGCCUCAAGGAGCCUGUGUUCUAUGCGGUCUUCACCCCACAGCUGAACAAUGUGGGUCUGUCAGCGGUGUGCGCCUACACACUGGCCACGGUGGAGGCAGUCUUCUCCCGUGGAAAGUACAUGCAGAGUGCCACAGUGGAGCAGUCUCACACCAAGUGGGUGCGCUACAAUGGCCCAGUGCCCACUCCCCGACCUGGAGCGUGUAUCGACAGUGAGGCCCGGGCAGCCAACUACACCAGCUCCUUGAAUCUCCCAGACAAAACACUGCAGUUUGUAAAAGACCACCCUUUGAUGGAUGACUCAGUGACCCCGAUAGACAACAGACCCAAGCUGAUCAAAAAAGAUGUAAACUACACCCAGAUAGUGGUAGACAGGACCCAGGCCCUGGAUGGGACUUUCUACGACGUCAUGUUCAUCAGCACAGACCGGGGAGCUCUGCAUAAAGCAGUCAUCCUCACAAAAGAGGUGCAUGUCAUCGAGGAGACCCAACUCUUCCGGGACUCUGAACCGGUCCUAACUCUGCUGCUAUCGUCAAAGAAGGGGAGGAAGUUUGUCUAUGCAGGCUCCAACUCUGGAGUGGUCCAAGCGCCCCUGGCAUUCUGCGAAAAGCACGGUAGCUGUGAAGACUGUGUGUUAGCACGGGACCCCUACUGUGCCUGGAGCCCAGCCAUCAAGGCCUGUGUUACCCUGCACCAGGAAGAGGCCUCCAGCAGGGGCUGGAUUCAGGACAUGAGCGGUGACACAUCCUCAUGCCUGGAUAAGAGUAAAGAAAGUUUCAACCAGCAUUUUUUCAAGCACGGCGGCACAGCGGAACUCAAAUGUUUCCAAAAGUCCAACCUAGCCCGGGUGGUAUGGAAGUUCCAGAAUGGCGAGUUGAAGGCCGCAAGUCCCAAGUACGGCUUUGUGGGCAGGAAGCACCUGCUCAUCUUCAACCUGUCGGACGGAGACAGCGGCGUGUACCAGUGCCUGUCAGAGGAAAGGGUGAGGAAUAAAACGGUCUCCCAGCUGCUGGCCAAGCACGUUCUGGAAGUGAAGAUGGUACCUCGGACCCCCCCCUCACCUACCUCAGAGGAUGCUCAGACAGAAGGUAGUAAGAUCACAUCCAAAAUGCCGGUUGCAUCUACCCAGGGGUCCUCUCCCCCUACCCCGGCUCUGUGGGCAACCUCCCCCAGAGCCGCCACCCUACCUCCCAAGUCCUCCUCCGGCACAUCCUGUGAACCAAAGAUGGUCAUCAACACGGUCCCCCAGCUCCACUCAGAGAAGACGGUGUAUCUCAAGUCCAGUGACAACCGCCUGCUCAUGUCUCUCCUCCUCUUCAUCUUUGUCCUCUUCCUCUGCCUCUUUUCCUACAACUGCUACAAGGGCUACCUGCCCGGACAGUGCUUAAAAUUCCGCUCAGCCCUGCUGCUUGGAAAGAAAACACCCAAGUCAGACUUCUCUGACCUGGAGCAGAGUGUGAAGGAGACACUGGUCGAGCCUGGGAGCUUCUCCCAGCAGAACGGCGACCACCCCAAGCCAGCCCUGGAUACGGGCUAUGAAACGGAGCAGGACACCAUCACCAGCAAAGUCCCCACGGAUCGUGAGGACUCGCAACGGAUCGAUGAACUCUCUGCCCGGGACAAACCGUUUGAUGUCAAGUGUGAACUGAAGUUUGCAGAUUCGGAUGCUGACGGGGACUGAGGCCAGCGUGUCCCAGCCCAUGCCCCUCUGUCUUCGUGGAGAGUGUUGUGUUGAGCCCAUUCAGUAGCCGAGUCUUGUCACUCUGUGCCAGCCUCAGUCCUGUGUCCCUUUUUCUCUUGGGUUGAGCCUGUGGCUCAUCCCCUUUGUCCUUUUGGGAAGCAAGUAUCUAUUCCAGUCUCAAGUCCUGCAGUUGCUGGAGCGCUUACGCACCUGAGCCCUUUGUGUCCUGGGGGAGAGAUGGCCACCUCCGUGGGCUGCGAAGAGCCACCCCUUCCUCUUCCGAUUCUCCUAGCAGCCACUCAGAGAUAAUUUAAUUCCAGAUUGGAAACGCCCUUUUAGUUUAUCAGAUUGGUAACUUACAUCCUGCUGCCCAGAUGGCACGGACAGUUUUCUUUCACUUAAUUAUUAUUUUUUUUUUAAGGAUUUUCGCUCCUAUUGUGUUGAUGUCUUAGGUCAUUUUCUUUUUUUCUUUCUCUUUUUUUAUUACCAGAGGAGAUGUUUUAAUAUUCAUGAGAAGAGGAACAUUUUCUAGAUUUUUUUGUUGUUAUAUAUUGAGAUAUAAAAUAUGGCUAUGUUGCUUAAGAUUCUCAGGGAUAGACUUAUUUUUGUUAACUUCAUUCUUUCCUGCUGUUAGGAACAUAGGCCUAAAAUUGUCUCUUGAGUUUGCUCACCCUUUUGUUUUGGUAGGGUUUUUUUGUUGUUGCUGUUAUUGUUUCUAGUUUUUAAUCUUAUUCAUUUUGAAGGAUUUUUCUUUCUGAACUUUUUAAAUUUUUAUAUUUUCCUGCCAUACAUCUACAAAGUGGGUUUUGAGUGAGGGCAGGUGGCCCAGUGGCUUUGGGUGGCGACUGAGCUGGUCCCACGAGGGGAGGAGGGUUUAUAUACCCCAUGACCCUGCGGCUUCUUGGCGCCUCCUGCCCAUGAGGAUCACAUCCUGUCUCUCCUUGCUUCCAUCUCUCAUCACUGCCCUUGGACUUCCGCCUUGACUGUCCAUGAAAGACAGAAAUGGGUUGGGUAGUUGGGCUCCCAACCUCGGAUGGUGACCGCAACAUCCCGUGUGGGCGGCCGGCCGCUCCUGCAGCCCGACUCUCCUGCCAGUGUCUUUCAGGAUGUCAACGGGUGGUACGAUUCUGGCAUUUGUUUCUCGCUCACCGUGUGUGGAACACUCAUUCCAUGUAGAGGGUGACGAACUCUGGAUUCCCCCCCACCCCCACCCCGUGCCGUGUAGACACUCAUCUUCUGCAUGACAUGAUCUACCAUUCGGUGUAAACAUUUGUGUUUAUAAGAUUUACUUUGUUUUUAUUUUUCUACUUGGAACUGUACACAUUUGAAAAGUACCCAAAUAAACCAGAAGCUUUAUCGUUGACUGGGCCAGCCUUUGCCUUAGUGUGGAGGCUGGGGGCGGUGGGGUGUCCUCCUGUCCCUCUGUGACGGCCCUGGGUGGGGGUUGGUCCUGGGAUCUUGUCUGUUCUCAUCCCAUGUGUCCGGUUUCUUGCUUUACCUUCUCCGUCAUGGGAAUGGUUCUGACGACUUCUUCCUCAGUGCCUUCUUUUGUGUCCUCUGUCUCACAGCCUCAUCUCCUAAGUCCUUCCCUCCUCCUGGCUCCUCUCUAUCCUGUCUGGGCCCUGACUCAUCUUCUCCCAGAAGCCCUCGGCCGGCCUUGGCCUCGGGGCCCAACAGCCGUAAGCAGGUCACCUUACUGCCACCCUUCUUGAGUGACCAGGCGCAGAAGGUGCAGGCGCUGGGGACCUUCUACCUCUUCUGCCAGGCCACAGAAGGAAUUGGAUAGUUAAAGAACCAACAGAGAGUCCAGCAGAUAUCCGAUUCAUUUGGGAGAAGAACAGGCAUGCCCUGGAGACGUGUGUACCUAUGCAGACCCAUGCACUGCCCGAUGGCAGGGCCCAUGCCCUCAGCUGGCUUCGGGACACCAUCCAAGAAACCACCGAAUACAGCUGCUCUGUCCUCUCCUCAGCAGGAAACCAGACUUCAAAGGUUCACAUCACUGUGAUGAGACACGAGGCACUGCAGCAGGAAAAGUGGAGCCAGGAACUUGCUACGUGGCGUGCUGUGGCCGGGGAGCAUGACAGGCUGAUGCAGGGCUGGAGGAAGGCAUGGGAAAGCUGCAGCAAGGAUACCUUCUAGCCACCAGAGGCAGUUCUGGACUGAUCCCAAGUGACCUUGUUGACACCAGCUGCAGACGUACCUGAUGAACGCACAGCACCUACUGCACCAAGCUAUUGUGUCUUGGCUGGCUCCACACUGCCAUUCGCCACAGCCUGAGUGUCCCUUCCUAGAGGCUGGGAAUCUCUAGGCCUGAACCCCAGUAGGCCUGAGACAGAACAAGACCUUUCUACAUUAGCUCUUAUGUAGCAGAAAGAUCAGUCUGCCUGGCAGAAACAGAAGGCUCCUCACCCAAGCAGAUGACAGAGCAGCAGGUCUGUCAUGAAGGCUAACCGGAUGGCAGACACCCUGCAUUCUCCCCAGGACUUCCCUGCACUCCUGUCCCUCCCCCAGGGCCAGAACAGCUAAUCUCCACUCCCCUUCUGUAGAUCUAACUCAAGUCUGCUGCUGUGGCCACCUAGGAAACAGGUUGUUCCAGGGGCUAAGCUGGGAUAGGAGAGGUGGGGUCCAUGUGAGAAUCUUUUGCCUUAAACCUUGAGUGACAUGAGGAAGUUGCUCUUCGCUUAUCUCAGAGCCCAAGGCUGUUUUCCAAAGCACAGUGCUUCCCACCCGUUUACCCUGUCAGCGCUCCGCUUCUGAGGUAGAAAUGCCAAACAGGCCAAUUAUGCAAACCUUCAGGUGCCGUAUUAAACUGUUUUCCAGUGCUGA
Molecule: RNA transcript, 6544 nt
Organism: Mus musculus (house mouse)
Lineage: Eukaryota; Metazoa; Chordata; Mammalia; Rodentia; Muridae
Gene: Sema4d
Gene name: sema domain, immunoglobulin domain (Ig), transmembrane domain (TM) and short cytoplasmic domain, (semaphorin) 4D
Exons: 19
Source: RefSeq, marked validated